This 466-nucleotide ribosomal RNA is filed under the name uncultured bacterium. RNAcentral describes it as "bacterial SSU rRNA". It matches the Rfam family "Bacterial small subunit ribosomal RNA", at positions 339 to 796 of the family's 1533-position model. The record is from RNAcentral.
GUACGGGAGGCAGCGGUGAGGAAUUUUGGACAAUGGGCGAAAGCCUGAUCCAGCCAUGCCGCGUGCAGGAAGAAGGCCUUCGGGUUGUAAACUGCUUUAGUCUAGGAAAAAGGGGUGCGAGGUUAAUACCCUCGUGCUUUGAUGGUACUGGAAGAAUAAGCACCGGCUAACUACGUGCCAGCAGCCGCGGUAAUACGUAGGGUGCGAGCGUUAAUCGGAAUUACUGGGCGUAAAGCGUGCGCAGGCGGUCUUGUAAGACAGUCGUGAAAUCCCUGGGCUUAACCUAGGAACUGCGAUUGUGACUGCAAGGCUAGAGUGUGUCAGAGGGAGGUGGAAUUCCACGUGUAGCAGUGAAAUGCGUAGAGAUGUGGAGGAACACCGAUGGCGAAGGCAGCCCCCUGGGAUAACACUGACGCUCAUGCACGAAAGCGUGGGGAGCAAACAGGAUUAGAUACCCGGGUAGUCG